GUCUUUUUGAUUAUAAUUUAAAAUCUGACCUGCCCAAUGAGUAUUUGAAUGGCCGCGGUAAUUUGACCGUGCAAAGGUAGCAUAAUCAUUAGUUUUUUAAUUGAAAGCUGGAAUGAAUGGUUGGACGAGAAAAUAACUGUCUCAAUUUAAUUGUAUAUAGAAUUUUAUUUAUAAGUAAAAAAGCUUAUAUGAUUUUAAAAGACGAGAAGACCCUAUAGAGUUUUACAUUUUAUUAUAUUAAUUAAUUUUAGAAUGUUUAUGUUUUUAAUAUAGUAAAAUGUUUUGCUGGGGCAGCAGAAAAAUUAAAUAAACUUUUUUUAUUAUUAUUACAUUGAUUUAUGAUUUAAUGAUCCAUUUUUUAUGAUUAUAAGAUUAAAUUACCUUAGGGAUAACAGCGUAAUUUUUUUUUAGAGUUCUUAUCGAAAAAAGAGUUUGCGACCUCGAUGUUGGAUUAAAAUUAACUUUUGGUGUAGGGGCUAAAAGGUUAGGUCUGUUCGACCUUUAAAAUUUUACA
Molecule: ribosomal RNA, 514 nt
Filed under: Callistethus schneideri
Lineage: Eukaryota; Metazoa; Arthropoda; Insecta; Coleoptera; Scarabaeidae
Description: partial 16S ribosomal RNA
Rfam family: Bacterial large subunit ribosomal RNA
Source: RNAcentral